This 478-nucleotide ribosomal RNA is filed under the name uncultured bacterium. RNAcentral's name for it is "bacterial SSU rRNA". It matches the Rfam family "Bacterial small subunit ribosomal RNA", at positions 8 to 524 of the family's 1533-position model. The record is from RNAcentral.
AGAGUUUGAUCCUGGCUCAGGAUGAACGCUGGCGGUAUGCCUAACACAUGCAAGUCGUACGAGAGUUUUUAACUCUAGUGGCGGACGGGUGAGUAACACGUGAGAAUUUGCCUUUAGGAGGGGGACAACAAUUGGAAACGAAUGCUGAUACCCCAUAUGCUUUCGAGUGAAAUGGAUUUUAUCCGCCUAGAGAGAAGCUCGCGGCUGAUUAGCUUGUUGGUAAGGUAAGAGCUUACCAAGGCGACGAUCAGUAUCUGGUUUGAGAGGACGAUCAGACACACUGGAACUGAGACACGGUCCAGACUCCUACGGGAGGCAGCAGUGGGGAAUUUUCCGCAAUGGGCGAAAGCCUGACGGAGCAAUACCGCGUGAGGGAAGAAUGCCUAUGGGUUGUAAACCUCUUUUUUCAGGGAGGAAUAAAAUGACGUGUACCUGAAGAAUAAGCAUCGGCUAACUCCGUGCCAGCAGCCGCGGUAAG